This 916-nucleotide ribosomal RNA is filed under the name uncultured archaeon. Its description in RNAcentral is "bacterial SSU rRNA". It matches the Rfam family "Archaeal small subunit ribosomal RNA", at positions 1 to 922 of the family's 1478-position model. The record is from RNAcentral.
UUUCCGGUUGAUCCUGCCGCCGGCCACCGCUAUCAAGUUCCGACUAAGCCAUGCGAGUCAAGGUAUCGUAAGAUGCCGGCAAACUGCUCAGUAACACGUGGAUAAUCUAACCUUGAGUAAGGGAUAACCUCGGGAAACUGAGGAUAAUACCUUAUAAUUGCUUAAAACUGGAAUGUUUAAGCAAUAAAAGUUCCGACGCUCAAGGAUGAGUCUGCGACCUAUCAGGUAGUAGGUGGUGUAAUGGACCACCUAGCCUCAGACGGGUACGGGCCCUGGGAGGGGUAGCCCGGAGAUGGACUCUGAGACAUCAGUCCAGGCCCUACGGGGCGCAGCAGGCGCGAACACUGUGCAAUGCGCGAAAGCGCGACACGGGGAGCUUGAGUGUCUUGGCAUAGCCAAGACUUUUCUCAUUCCUAAAAAGCAUGAGGAAUAAGUGCUGGGUAAGACGGGUGCCAGCCGCCGCGGUAACACCCGCAGCACAAGUGGUGGUCACUUUUAUUGAGCCUAAAGCGUUCGUAGCCGGUUUUGUAAAUCUUUAGAUAAAGCCUGAAGCUUAACUCCAGAAAGUCUGAAGAGACUGCAAGACUUGAGAUCGGGUGAGGUUAAACGUACUUUCAGGGUAGGGGUAAAAUCCUGUAAUCCCGGAAGGACGACCAGUGGCGAAAGCGUUUAACUAGAACGAAUCUGACGGUAAGGAACGAAGGCUAGGGUAGCAAACCGGAUUAGAUACCCGGGUAGUCCUAGCUGUAAACACUGCCCAUUUGAUGUUGCUUUUCCGUUGAGGGAAGGCAGUGUCGGAGCGAAGGCGUUAAAUGGGCCGCUUGGGAAGUAUGGUCGCAAGACUGAAACUUAAAGGAAUUGGCGGGGGAGCACCGCAACGGGAGGAAUGUGCGGUUUAAUUGGAUUCAACGCCGGA